AAGACUAUAGACCUGCGGAGUACCUGCGGAAGGAUCAUUAUUUGAUCUAAAUCGGAGGCAUUUGCAAAAAUGCAGCCUUUUUGUUUUGUGAACUGUCUUGUACUGUUGUAUUUUUUUUAAAGUUGUUAUUUUCUUCGGAAAAUAAAAAUUAAAGACAACUUUUAACAAUGGAUCUCU
This 177-nucleotide unclassified non-coding RNA is filed under the name soil metagenome. RNAcentral's name for it is "partial contains 5.8S ribosomal RNA, internal transcribed spacer 2, and large subunit ribosomal RNA". The record is from RNAcentral.